UGCAUGCCCCUUAGAUCCAUCUCUUUUUAUCUUGAGAGAUGCUUGAGUCAUAGGCAUGCAAUAAUAUGCAAUACCUUCUCUUUAAUCCAUCGUAGUAACAAAGUAAAUUUAUUUUACUAUUAUUAUAGUGUUACUAUAAUAUUGAAGAGAGGACAGA
Molecule: small nucleolar RNA, 157 nt
Filed under: Polistes fuscatus (common paper wasp)
Lineage: Eukaryota; Metazoa; Arthropoda; Insecta; Hymenoptera; Vespidae
Description: small nucleolar RNA SNORA53
Rfam family: Small nucleolar RNA SNORA53
About the family: The snoRNA ACA53 belongs to the H/ACA family of pseudouridylation guide snoRNAs.
Source: RNAcentral